RNAcentral lists this ribosomal RNA (497 nucleotides) under uncultured bacterium. RNAcentral describes it as "partial 16S ribosomal RNA". It matches the Rfam family "Bacterial small subunit ribosomal RNA", at positions 28 to 507 of the family's 1533-position model. The record is from RNAcentral.
GAUGAACGCUGGCGGCGUGCCUAAUACAUGCAAGUCGAGCGAACAGACGAGGAGCUUGCUCCUCUGACGUUAGCGGCGGACGGGUGAGUAACACGUGGAUAACCUACCUAUAAGACUCGGAUAACUUCGGGAAACCGGAGCUAAUACCGGAUAACAUGUUGAACCGCAUGGUUCAACAGUGAAAGACGGUCUUGCUGUCACUUAUAGAUGGAUCCGCGCCGCAUUAGCUAGUUGGUAAGGUAACGGCUUACCAAGGCAACGAUGCGUAGCCGACCUGAGAGGGUGAGCGGCCACACUGGAACUGAGACACGGUCCAGACUCCUACGGGAGGCAGCAGUAGGGAAUCUUCCGCAAAGGGCGAAAGCCUGACGGAGCAACGCCGCGUGAGUGAAGAAGGUCUUCGGAUCGUAAAACUCUGUUAUUAGGGAAGAACAAAUGUGUAAGUAACUAUGCACGUCUUGACGGUACCUAAUCAGAAAGCCACGGCUAACUACGUG